RNAcentral lists this ribosomal RNA (468 nucleotides) under uncultured bacterium. RNAcentral's name for it is "partial 16S ribosomal RNA". It matches the Rfam family "Bacterial small subunit ribosomal RNA", at positions 28 to 507 of the family's 1533-position model. The record is from RNAcentral.
GACGAACGCUGGCGGCGUGCUUAACACAUGCAAGUCGAACGGAAAGGCCCUGCUUUUGUGGGGUGCUCGAGUGGCGAACGGGUGAGUAACACGUGAGUAACCUGCCCUUGACUUUGGGAUAACUUCAGGAAACUGGGGCUAAUACCGGAUAGGAGCUCCUGCUGCACGGUGGGGGUUGGAAAGUUUCGGCGGUUGGGGAUGGACUCGCGGCUUAUCAGCUUGUUGGUGGGGUAGUGGCUUACCAAGGCUUUGACGGGUAGCCGGCCUGGGAGGGUGACCGGCCACAUAGGGACUGGGAUGCGGCCCAGAGGGAUACGGGAGGCAGCGGUGGGGAAUAGUGCACACUGGGCGGCGGCAGGAUGCAGCAUCGCCGCGUGCGGGAGGACGGUUGUAGGUUAGUAAACAGCGUGCGACUGGAAAGUACCGUGAGUGACGGUAACGGGUAAGGAAGCACCGGCUAACUACGUG